GGAUUGAACGCUGGCGGCAUGCCUUACACAUGCAAGUCGAACGGUAGAGUAGCAAUACUUGAGAGUGGCGAACGGGUGAGUAAUAUAUCGGAACGUGCCCAGUCGUGGGGGAUAACGUAGAGAAAUUUACGCUAAUACCGCAUACGAUCUAAGGAUGAAAGCGGGGGACCGUAAGGCCUCGCGCGAUUGGAGCGGCUGAUAUCAGAUUAGGUUGUUGGUGAGGUAAAAGCUCACCAAGCCGACGAUCUGUAGCUGGUUUGAGAGAACGACCAGCCACACUGGGACUGAGACACGGCCCAGACUCCUACGGGAGCAGCAGUGGGGAAUUUGGACAAUGGGCGAAAGCCUGAUCCAGCAAUGCCGCGUGCAGGAAGAAGGCCUUCGGGUGUAAACUGCUUUGUACGAACGAACGUCUGCUUUAAUACAGUGGCUAAUGACGGUACCGUAAGAAUAAGCAACCGGCUAACUACGUGCCAGCAGCCGC
RNAcentral lists this ribosomal RNA (484 nucleotides) under uncultured soil bacterium. RNAcentral describes it as "bacterial SSU rRNA". It matches the Rfam family "Bacterial small subunit ribosomal RNA", at positions 27 to 518 of the family's 1533-position model. The record is from RNAcentral.